AGACCUUCAGACAUAGUUGAGGCGAAUUAACCCACGCCACGAUUGUAUCACUCAUUGUCUAACAU
This 65-nucleotide small nucleolar RNA is filed under the name Drosophila ananassae. RNAcentral describes it as "snoRNA:GF26091". The record is from RNAcentral. Lineage: Eukaryota; Metazoa; Arthropoda; Insecta; Diptera; Drosophilidae.